Molecule: long non-coding RNA, 1082 nt
Filed under: Gossypium barbadense (sea-island cotton)
Lineage: Eukaryota; Viridiplantae; Streptophyta; Magnoliopsida; Malvales; Malvaceae
Description: long non-coding RNA (GBAR_LNC014517)
Source: RNAcentral
CAAGAUUCUAGAGAAAGGCUUAGCCUAAACUUAAGUUAUAGGCCGAGUCAUGCAUUUCUUUUUAGUCAUAAGUGCUCCCAUGCAGUUGUAUAGGCUGAAUUUUAUUCUAUUUGAGUUGUGAGGUAAACAUGUAGGGCAAGGUGGCAGUACAGGUUACAACGUGUCUUGCCUCUCACAUGCAUUAGACACAUGGAUAGCUAUUUGCCCACUACUUGCAGCAAGAAGAAUGGAUGCUAAUUCAGUUGCUGACAUGUUGAAUGCAAAAUAAAAUGGCUUCAGACCAAACUUUUUUCAGCUAGUCAAAAAUAUUCAAUAAGAACUUAGUUUUAGAUUACUUUUUGGCUUUCCUUCAUAAUCUGAGAUCACUAAAGACCAUUGCUCAUAUUUCAAAAUUUAGGGCUAUUCUAGGAAGCUGUUAAAAGUUCAAAUUGAUUCAAUCAAGUAAACAACCAACCAAGAACUAACAAAAUAAUACUUCACAAGCAUGCAUGUAUAGCAGAAGUUUACAAGCUAAAAACAAAAGUACUUAACUUAGAAACAAAACAUACCGAUCUAAUAUAUGGUUGCUGGAACAACCAACCAACAAUAGGUAUCCUCUGCAAAAACACUGCCAGUGUUGGCCAAAAACCACUGCCAAGUCAAUAGACUAAAAGAUAAUCUCAUUAAUCCCAUCUUCAACUUCCAUACCUCCUCAUUUGCUGCUAAAUAAAAUUAAAGCAAAAGCCAUGUAAUUAAAAAGUCAAAUAUGCCAACACUAAAAACUUUGACUAUACAAAAUUGUUAUUCUAUAUGUUGUUCGAACAUGAAAUAAAACAAGAGAAGCAAUCAAAGUUCUAAUAAUCUCCCUCUUUGACAUUUUGACAAGAUCAACAACAAACAAUUAACACACAAUCUGAACAAAUCAACGAAAACUAGAAUAUAUCUCCCCCUAAGAAAUAGAACCAUGCUCGACCAUACACUUCCCUUGUCAAUAUGAUUGGUCAUCACAUUGUCCACCAAGCAUACACACUCUUUCCAAAGUAAUUUCAAGAAAUAUAGAGCAUGACAAAUAAUCCACACAAGUCCCAUCUAGUAUCAACAAA